Molecule: long non-coding RNA, 571 nt
Organism: Gopherus flavomarginatus (Mexican gopher tortoise)
Lineage: Eukaryota; Metazoa; Chordata; Testudines; Testudinidae
Exons: 3
Source: RefSeq, a predicted model, not a curated record
UUGACACCAGGCCAAGACAUCCAUUUUUGAAGGCAGGUUUUUCUCAUAGUCCAUUUCCUGCUGUUUAAUAACAAGUGUUUAACCUGUUCUGAGCAGAUUAUUUCGUCACAGUGGAACCAUUCAGGAGCCAGGCCUGUAAAUGGAGUAUCUACAGGUUCCCAUGGAGAGUGCGACCAUUGUGUUGAGUCAGCAGAUCCGGCCAGUGAAGGAGAACUCGCGGGGUGUAUAUUGCCAUGUGUAACAGGGUUGGUGUAAAUCUCCAAGGUGCAGACCGUGGCCCAAGAGACCUUCACUGAAUGAAGCACCUCGUCUGACUUCUGAGAGAAGAGUUAUUCUCGGUCGAAAGGCGGGCAGAAUAGAAGCAGGUGUGUGCCAGACUGUCUCUGCAGGAUCCAAGAUGGCCUCAUUGAUGGCACUGACAAUUUUGGAGAUAGAUGCAGGUUGCAGUAUUUGUACCAGCUUGUGCUAGUUUCUUUACCUCCUCCAGCGGGAUGUCGUGGCUUUGCAUGACCCUUGAACAGCUCUUGAAACUAUUUAAAGUCAUCUGCCGAGGCUGGCAGUGGGAGCAUAA